GUAGGUGAACCUGCGGAAGGAUCAUUAAUGAAUUUUGAUUUAGGUUAGGUGGAGGAGGGGGAGGGGUGAAGAAUAACUUUCUUUCUUUCUUUCCUUCGACUGACAUAUUUUCUUCUCUCUUCACACGUGCUCCGGUGGAUGUUUAGUCUAGAAUUUAUUCUUCUUUCUAAAUGUCUGUCGAUUGUUUUCUGCGUAUUUAUUUAUUAUCUGAAUUUAUUAUAAUGAAUCAAUUGGAAAACUUCUCAAAAGG
RNAcentral lists this unclassified non-coding RNA (250 nucleotides) under plant metagenome. RNAcentral's name for it is "partial contains small subunit ribosomal RNA, internal transcribed spacer 1, and 5.8S ribosomal RNA". The record is from RNAcentral.